This 576-nucleotide ribosomal RNA is filed under the name uncultured eukaryote. RNAcentral's name for it is "SSU rRNA". It matches the Rfam family "Eukaryotic small subunit ribosomal RNA", at positions 174 to 758 of the family's 1831-position model. The record is from RNAcentral.
UAAAAACCCCGACUUCGGAAGGGGUGUAUUUAUUAGAUACAAAACCAAUGCCCUUCGGGGCUCUUUGGUGAUUCAUGAUAACUAUACGAAUCGCACGGCCUUGCGCCGGCGAUGGUUCAUUCAAAUUUCUUCCCUAUCAACUUUCGAUGUUUGGGUAUUGGCCAAACAUGGUUGCAACGGGUAACGGAGGGUUAGGGCUCGACCCCGGAGAAGGAGCCUGAGAAACGGCUACUACAUCCAAGGAAGGCAGCAGGCGCGCAAAUUACCCAAUCCCGACUCGGGGAGGUAGUGACAAUAAAUACUGAUACAGGGCCCUUUCGGGCCUUGUAAUUGGAAUGAGUACAAUUUAAAUCCCUUAACGAGGAACAAUUGGAGGGCAAGUCUGGUGCCAGCAGCCGCGGUAAUUCCAGCUCCAAUAGCGUAUAUUAAAGUUGUUGUGGUUAAAAAGCUCGUAGUUGAACCUUGGGCCUGGCUGGCCGGUCCGCCUCACCGCGUGCACUGGUCCGGCCGGGCCUUUCCCUCUGUGGAACCCCAUACCCCUCACUGGGCGUGGCGGGGAAACAGGACAUUUACUUU